AAAUGAAUAGACGGGGGCCCGCACAAGCGGUGGAGCAUGUGGUUUAAUUCGAUGAUACGCGAGGAACCUUACCAGGGCUUAAAUGUAGUCUGACAGGGGUGGAAACACCUUUUUCUUCGGACAGAUUACAAGGUGCUGCAUGGUUGUCGUCAGCUCGUGCCGUGAGGUGUCAGGUUAAGUCCUAUAACGAGCGCAACCCUUGUCGUUAGUUGCCAGCGAGUAAUGUCGGGAACUCUAGCGAGACUGCCGGUGCAAACCGUGAGGAAGGUGGGGACGACGUCAAAUCAUCACGGCCCUUAUGUCCUGGGCUACACACGUGCUACAAUGGCCGGUACAGUGGGCAGCCACCCCGCGAGGGGGAGCGAAUCCAUAAAGCCGGUCUCAGUUCGGAUCGGGGUCUGCAACUCGACCCCGUGAAGCUGGAAUCGCUAGUAAUCGCAGAUCAGCCAUGCUGCGGUGAAUACGUUCCCGGGCCUUGUACACACCGCCCGU
This 492-nucleotide ribosomal RNA is filed under the name uncultured bacterium. RNAcentral's name for it is "bacterial SSU rRNA". It matches the Rfam family "Bacterial small subunit ribosomal RNA", at positions 903 to 1397 of the family's 1533-position model. The record is from RNAcentral.